Molecule: ribosomal RNA, 1023 nt
Filed under: fungal endophyte
Lineage: Eukaryota; Fungi
Description: eukaryotic LSU rRNA
Rfam family: Eukaryotic large subunit ribosomal RNA (bases 499-1023)
Source: RNAcentral
ACUCCCAAACCCAUGUGAACAUACCCAUUGUUGCCUCGGCAGGUCUCGCGGCCUACCCGGUAAACCUCCCCCCUACCUUGGGGGGCCUUACCUGGGAGGACGCGGGGUACGCCCGCCGGUGGCCCCCGAAACUCUGUUUAAACUUUUGAAAAUCUGAUUUGGAAACAAAAUACGUUAAAACUUUCAACAACGGAUCUCUUGGUUCUGGCAUCGAUGAAGAACGCAGCGAAAUGCGAUAAGUAAUGUGAAUUGCAGAAUUCAGUGAAUCAUCGAAUCUUUGAACGCACAUUGCGCCCACUAGUAUUCUGGUGGGCAUGCCUGUUCGAGCGUCAUUUCGACCCCUUAAGCCCUCGUUGCUUAGCGUUGGGAGCCUACGUGUCUCGCGUAGCUCCUCAAAGUUAGUGGCAGAGUCAGCCCAUACUCUAGGCGUAGUAAUUCCUACCCCGCCUCUGCAGUUGGGCUGCCCCUCGCCGUAAAACACCCCAAAUCUAUCAAGGUUGACCUCGGAUCAGGUAGGGAUACCCGCUGAACUUAAGCAUAUCAAUAAGCGGAGGAAAAGAAACCAACAGGGAUUGCCCUAGUAACGGCGAGUGAAGCGGCAACAGCUCAAAUUUGAAAUCUGGCCUUCGGGUCCGAGUUGUAAUUUGUAGAGGAUGCUUUUGGCGCGGUGCCUUCCGAGUUCCCUGGAACGGGACGCCUUAGAGGGUGAGAGCCCCGUACGGUUGGACACCAAGCCUCUGUAAAGCUCCUUCGACGAGUCGAGUAGUUUGGGAAUGCUGCUCUAAGUGGGAGGUAAAUUUCUUCUAAAGCUAAAUAUUGGCCAGAGACCGAUAGCGCACAAGUAGAGUGAUCGAAAGAUGAAAAGCACUUUGAAAAGAGGGUUAAAUAGCACGUGAAAUUGUUGAAAGGGAAGCGUUUGCGACCAGACCUUUUCCUGGCGGAUCAUCCGGUGUUCUCACCGGUGCACUUCGCCAGGUUGAGGCCAGCAUCGGUUUCUGUAGGGGGAUAAAAGCCUGGGGAACG